RNAcentral lists this long non-coding RNA (2828 nucleotides) under Pelobates cultripes (western spadefoot toad). Lineage: Eukaryota; Metazoa; Chordata; Amphibia; Anura; Pelobatidae. The record is from RNAcentral.
CAAGGAUGUGGGCUAAACAAAUCAAAAAAUUAAACAAGGUUUACAGAAUAUUUUCAAAAACUGUCACUUUAUUGGGAAGCUGAAACCUUAAAUUUAGAAAGCAUUCUCUUAUCAUAAACAGUCUGCAUCGUGUGGCCUAGAACUAUAUUACAGAAGGUGGAACAUUCAUUGUUUCUUGAGUUAGAGAAUCUGUACUGAGCUUAGAAUACUAGGAAUUUAAAGGUGUAGGAACACUGGAAAAAUACAAGAAACAUGUUCAUUUAUUUGCAUUGAGUACACUCCAAGCCAGCAUCUAUGGAGCCUCUUAAAUUUGUUCUUACCGAAAAUGCAUAAGUAGCCUAGUCUGACCAGAUCUAAAUUUGCAAAAUUAAAUAGGCGUGACAAAUUAAACAUUCAUAAGAUAUGAAUACUCAAAGUAUGCCAGCUGUUCUAUUAAAAUACAUUUAGAGAUGCUGGCUGGUAGAGACAUCUUUUGUGCAGUGAAAAACUGUUGGGGAAAACAAUGGGUAGCUCUCUGCCAAUGACAAUAGUCAAAAUAGGUGCAGGAAGGGCUGGAGAAACCCAAAACAGAGCUAGGAGACUGGCCUCGAUCUUUGGUGGCAGUGUCUGAACAUCCAGCUAGAGUGACAUUUGCAUGUAUUGUUCUAGCAGAUAAAUUUUUUUUAAAAAGCAGUUCUGUCAUUGGAUAGGUUGUGCUAUAGAAAAAAACUAAAAUAUGAUAUUAAUGAAUAAUAAAAUACAAUUAUCAUGAGGCUUUUUAUCUCAUAUUUACGUAGCUAGAAUGUAUCGCUCAGCCACAUGACUGCUUCUAGAAAUUGUGAACUUGUCACUUGACAAUAGCACUGCUCGUACUCCUACCUCUCUAUUGUGGUGUGUGCAGACAAGAAAAAAAACAGUGGCAGAAUUGUGGAAGCAGUUUUUAUUUUGAGGAUAUGUCUUUUAUCCACUAAUGGCUUCUUUAUGGUAAUUUCAUAGUUCUAGCCGUUGCAGAAAAAAAGUAGUAGGCACUUCUGGAUUCCUGGUGCCCAGGGUCCUUGCUAUUGGCCAAAUUACUGUUCCUCUCUUUCUGGGCAGAACUGAACAAGGAUAGCAAUUAGUCUAGAUAAAAUCCAUAGAAAUAAACUGUAAACACUUUUGAAAGUUUUUUGGAGGGGGAUGAGGAGAGAAUAAAGCGUGUAACUGAGUUGUGGCACCAUAUACAAUAUAAAAAAUAUUGAUAAAUAGCAAGGCAUUUGACAUAGUAUUCUUUAUGGAAAAGCCAGCAUCAUGCAAUUAAAAUCCAUUCAAUAUGAAAAAGUGAUCAGUACACAGUCCUAAUCUGUACUAUUGCUAUUCAUUAUGUUUUGGUAGAAAAAAAUCUUACCGUCUCAUCAGAUUUUUCAACCACUCAAUAGUUUUGUCUUAAACUUAUUAUUGGUUAUAAACUUCCUGUUUGAUAAAUAAACUCAAGUGGGCAAUCCAAACUUUCCAGCCAUGAAGUGCAAGCCAUAUUAAUAACAGCUGGACUUUAUUUGGAGGUGUACCCAAACAAUUAAAGUGUACCCUUCAGAACAUUAUUUUAAAAAUAAAACUAAAUUAUCACAAAACAACUUGUUUCUCCUCUCCCAAUAUCUUACUUAACAACAAAGCCUUCAGGUCAAACCAAGGCUUCCUUGGAGUUGGAGAGCCUAAAUAAAUGUUAGAGCAUCAAAUACCAGGGGGGGUUCUGAUUCUAGGAAUGAUGUGCUCAAACACUGGAAUUUAGGGCAAAGAAGACUUCUGCAGGCGACUGAUAAGUUAUUCCAAGUGAAAACACUGGAUGUACCAUGGCCCAACAGAAAGGCAAGAUCACUCUGAAUGAUGGCUUACAGUCCAAAGCAGUUAAAUGUUCCCAUCACUAGGUGCAACUGGUGGGAGGGUGAUAUAAAAUCAAAGUAAACUAUUCCCAUUUCCAUAUUGAUAUUUUACAGCUUCACACUGUGAAACAGAGUGGAGCCUGUUUAUUUGGCAUUCAGGUGCUCUUAAUACAAUGAAGGAACAUGGAACCAUUGAUGGGUUGGACAGGUCAGUCUGACAGUGAAAAAACAAUUGCUAUUGUGAUAUGCAAGGCUGUUGUAUGGUAAUUUCUCCAAGAAAUAUGACAAAGAUGGCAUUACCUUGGAGAUAAGUAGAACUAGCUAUAAUUCCACAAGAUGAUUGUGUACAGAAUGGCCUUUUUGCCAGCUGACUUCAAGAGGAAUUUAUCAUGACAGUAAAAUUAGGAGGACACCAGAUCAGGGGCAACAAUUCAAUGCAAUAGGUAUGAUCUCUUGAUCCAUUUAAAAUACACAGUCUGAGCUCUCCCUGGAUUCUAGAACAGAGCACACAGAUGCAGAGACAGAGGAUUACUUACAAUUAUCAUUAUAUGCACAGCCGUCUCCUUGGUCUCUGUUAAUAGGAAUGCAGAAAGUUAUGGUUUAAUAGAAAUGUAAAUCUGGAUGGACAUCCUCCCAUGGUGCCUGGGGACCCUAUGACAUAGCCUACAUGACAGUUUGUAUAGUACACAAACAGGACUGAAUCUGAUUGCUGUAAGUAAAAGGUGCCGGUGUGAUCAUUUGAGUUACCUAAUGUCUGUAAGAUACAUAAACAUCUUAGUGCCAGAGCUAUGAGCAACAUUUAAAUAGAGCUUGAUGCAUUCCUGACAGUCAAUUAUUUUAACACAUUUUCCUUUUUCAACAGCAAAUCACAAUCAACAAGUUCAAUUAAUUUAAAUUCAGAACUGACAGUUAAUCAUCAGUGGCAGAUGAACCAACAGUCCCAUAUUUCUAAGCUCAUUUGGAAAUUGUGGGAGUUUAAUUUCCUCCUGGCGA